UGCUAUACAUGCAGUCGAGCGGACCGACGGGAGCUUGCUCCCUUAGGUCAGCGGCGGACGGGUGAGUAACACGUGGGUAACCUGCCUGUAAGACUGGGAUAACUCCGGGAAACCGGGGCUAAUACCGGAUGCUUGAUUGAACCGCAUGGUUCAAUCAUAAAAGGUGGCUUUUAGCUACCACUUACAGAUGGACCCGCGGCGCAUUAGCUAGUUGGUGAGGUAACGGCUCACCAAGGCGACGAUGCGUAGCCAACCUGAGAGGGUGAUCGGCCACACUGGGACUGAGACACGGCCCAGACUCCUACGGGAGGCAGCAGUAGGGAAUCUUCCGCAAUGGACGAAAGUCUGACGGAGCAACGCCGCGUGAGUGAUGAAGGUUUUCGGAUCGUAAAACUCUGUUGUUAGGGAAGAACAAGUACCGUUCGAAUAGGGCGGUACCUUGACGGUACCUAACCAGAAAGCCACGGCUAACUACGUGCCAGCAGCCGCGGUAAUACGUAGGUGGCAAGCGUUGUCCGGAAUUAUUGGGCGUAAAGCGCGCGCAGGCGGUUUCUUAAGUCUGAUGUGAAAGCCCCCGGCUCAACCGGGGAGGGUCAUUGGAAACUGGGGAACUUGAGUGCAGAAGAGGAGAGUGGAAUUCCACGUGUAGCGGUGAAAUGCGUAGAGAUGUGGAGGAACACCAGUGGCGAAGGCGACUCUCUGGUCUGUAACUGACGCUGAGGCGCGAAAGCGUGGGGAGCGAACAGGAUUAGAUACCCUGGUAGUCCACGCCGUAAACGAUGAGUGCUAAGUGUUAGAGGGUUUCCGCCCUUUAGUGCUGCAGCAAACGCAUUAAGCACUCCGCCUGGGGAGUACGGUCGCAAGACUGAAACUCAAAGGAAUUGACGGGGGCCCGCACAAGCGGUGGAGCAUGUGGUUUAAUUCGAAGCAACGCGAAGAACCUUACCAGGUCUUGACAUCCUCUGACAACCCUAGAGAUAGGGCUUCCCCUUCGGGGGCAGAGUGACAGGUGGUGCAUGGUUGUCGUCACCUCUUGUCGUGAGAUGUUGGGUUAAGUCCCCCAACAAGCGCAACCCUUGAUCUUAUUUGCCAGCAUUCAGUUGGGCACUCUAAGGGGACUGCCGGUGACAACCGGAGGAAGGGGGGAUGACGUCAAAUCAUCAGCCCUUAUGACCUGGCUACCAACGUGGUACAAUGGGC
RNAcentral lists this ribosomal RNA (1200 nucleotides) under Bacillus licheniformis. RNAcentral describes it as "bacterial SSU rRNA". It matches the Rfam family "Bacterial small subunit ribosomal RNA", at positions 45 to 1235 of the family's 1533-position model. The record is from RNAcentral. Lineage: Bacteria; Bacillati; Bacillota; Bacilli; Caryophanales; Bacillaceae.